GCCGCGGGGGCCGGUCGUGCUCUGCCCGGCUCGGUCUGCGAGCACAGGGGCAGGAGCGAAGGGUCUCCUGCUUGGUGUGUUGGCCUGCCCGAGUGGCCCUGCCGCUGUUGCAAGCAGCUUGGAAAGGUGUACAGACAUAGGGGGGUCAGAUUUACGCAGUCUUGCCCAGGGACAAGUUUUCCAUGACACUGGAUUCAUCGCUCAGCUACAAUAUGGUGCCAGGCAUACGCUCAGGCCCCACUUGCAGAGCAGUGUGUUCAAUUCAACCUAUGCAUCUUGGGCAAGAGUUUAACGUUUUCUGAGCUGCACCU
RNAcentral lists this long non-coding RNA (311 nucleotides) under Struthio camelus australis. RNAcentral describes it as "lncRNA (ENSSCUG00000013200.1)". The record is from RNAcentral. Lineage: Eukaryota; Metazoa; Chordata; Aves; Struthioniformes; Struthionidae.